This 560-nucleotide ribosomal RNA is filed under the name Bifidobacterium adolescentis. RNAcentral describes it as "bacterial SSU rRNA". It matches the Rfam family "Bacterial small subunit ribosomal RNA", at positions 145 to 715 of the family's 1533-position model. Lineage: Bacteria; Bacillati; Actinomycetota; Actinomycetes; Bifidobacteriales; Bifidobacteriaceae. The record is from RNAcentral.
UUCUCCUGGAAAACGGGUGGUAAUGCCGGAUGCUCCAGCAGGCCGCAUGUCCUUCGGGAAAGAUUCAUCGGUAUGGGAUGGGGUCGCGUCCUAUCAGCUUGAUGGCGGGGUAACGGCCCACCAUGGCUUCGACGGGUAGCCGGCCUGAGAGGGCGACCGGCCACAUUGGGACUGAGAUACGGCCCAGACUCCUACGGGAGGCAGCAGUGGGGAAUAUUGCACAAUGGGCGCAAGCCUGAUGCAGCGACGCCGCGUGCGGGAUGACGGCCUUCGGGUUGUAAACCGCUUUUGACUGGGAGCAAGCCCUUCGGGGUGAGUGUACCUUUCGAAUAAGCACCGGCUAACUACGUGCCAGCAGCCGCGGUAAUACGUAGGGUGCAAGCGUUAUCCGGAAUUAUUGGGCGUAAAGGGCUCGUAGGCGGUUCGUCGCGUCCGGUGUGAAAGUCCAUCGCUUAACGGUGGAUCCGCGCCGGGUACGGGCGGGCUUGAGUGCGGUAGGGGAGACUGGAAUUCCCGGUGUAACGGUGGAAUGUGUAGAUAUCGGAAAAGAACACCACCCC